UCGGGAAUUUUGGGCAAUGGGCGAAAGCCUGACCCAGCAACGCCGCGUGAAGGAUGAAGUAUUUCGGUAUGUAAACUUCGAAAGAAUAGGAAGAAUAAAUGACGGUACUAUUUAUAAGGUCCGGCUAACUACGUGCCAGCAGCCGCGGUAAUACGUAGGGACCAAGCGUUGUUCGGAUUUACUGGGCGUAAAGGGCGCGUAGGCGGCAAUUCAAGUCAUCUGUGAAAUCUCCGGGCUUAACUCGGAACGGUCAGAUGAUACUGCUUUGCUAGAGUGCAGAAGGGGCAAUCGGAAUUCUUGGUGUAGCGGUGAAAUGCGUAGAUAUCAAGAGGAACACCUGAGGUGAAGACGGGUUGCUGGGCUGACACUGACGCUGAGGCGCGAAAGCCAGGGGAGCCAACGGGAUUAGAUACCCAGGUAGUCCCUGAGCGGGCUGGCAAGGCGCAU
Molecule: ribosomal RNA, 447 nt
Filed under: uncultured bacterium
Lineage: Bacteria
Description: bacterial SSU rRNA
Rfam family: Bacterial small subunit ribosomal RNA
Source: RNAcentral